This is a small nucleolar RNA of Dichanthelium oligosanthes, 139 nucleotides long. It matches the Rfam family "Small nucleolar RNA Z247". Rfam says of the family: Z247 is a member of the C/D class of snoRNA which contain the C (UGAUGA) and D (CUGA) box motifs. The record is from Rfam. Lineage: Eukaryota; Viridiplantae; Streptophyta; Magnoliopsida; Poales; Poaceae.
CCACUGGAUGAUGAUGAACUAGUGGAAUACAUCCUCAGUGGCCUUGACGAGGAAUAUGACUCCGUUGUCAAUGCGGUUCUUACACGAACCGAUCCGAUCACUGUAAGUGAACUUGUUUCGCAGAUGCUGUCAUUCAAGA